UACGUUCCCGGGUCUUGUACACACCGCCCGUCACACCAUGGGAGCGGGUUCCGCCAGAAGUAGGUAGCCUAACCGCAAGGGGGCGCUUACCACGGCGGGGUUCGUGACUGGGGUG
This 115-nucleotide ribosomal RNA is filed under the name uncultured bacterium. RNAcentral's name for it is "partial 16S ribosomal RNA". It matches the Rfam family "Bacterial small subunit ribosomal RNA", at positions 1367 to 1482 of the family's 1533-position model. The record is from RNAcentral.